Molecule: ribosomal RNA, 408 nt
Filed under: uncultured bacterium
Lineage: Bacteria
Description: partial 16S ribosomal RNA
Rfam family: Bacterial small subunit ribosomal RNA
Source: RNAcentral
GACGAACGCUGGCGGCGUGCUUAACACAUGCAAGUCGAACGCAGUGGCGAACGGGUGAGUAACGCGUAAUCAACCUGCCCUUCAGCGGGGGACAACAGUUGAAAACGACUGCUAAUACCGCAUACUGAAGGUGGGGAUUGCGUCUGAUUAGCUAGUUGGAGGGGGAACGGCCAACCAAGGCGAUGAUCAGUAGCCGGGCUGGGAGGGUGAACGGCCACAUUGGGAAUGGGAAAAGGCCCAGAACCCUACGGGAGGGAGCAGUGGGGAAUCUUCCGCAAAGGACGAAAGUCUGACGGAGCAACGCCGGGGGAGUGAUGAAGGCCUUCGGGUUGUAAAGCUCUGUUAAUCGGGACGCGGUACCUGAAUAGAAAGCCACGGCUAACUACGUGCCAGCAGCCGCGGUAAUUC